Molecule: transfer RNA, 97 nt
Filed under: Metarhizium rileyi
Lineage: Eukaryota; Fungi; Ascomycota; Sordariomycetes; Hypocreales; Clavicipitaceae
Description: tRNA-Ile
Rfam family: tRNA
About the family: Transfer RNA (tRNA) molecules are approximately 80 nucleotides in length. Their secondary structure includes four short double-helical elements and three loops (D, anti-codon, and T loops).
Source: RNAcentral
GCUUCCGUAGCUCAGUUGGUUAGAGCUUCGUACUAAUAAUCAUUCCGGUGAUACAAUAGUGAUGCGGAGGUCGCAGGUUCAAGCCCUGCCGGGAGCA